AGCAGCCGCCACGGGAAUACGUAGGGUGCAAGCGUUAAUCGGAAUUACUGGGCGUAAAGCGUGCGCAGGCGGUUCGUUAAGACAGAUGUGAAAUCCCCGGGCUUAACCUGGGAACUGCAUUUGUGACUGGCGGGCUAGAGUAUGGCAGAGGGGGGUAGAAUUCCACGUGUAGCAGUGAAAUGCGUAGAGAUGUGGAGGAAUACCGAUGGCGAAGGCAGCCCCCUGGGCCAAUACUGACGCCCAUGCACGAAAGCGUGGGGAGCAAACAGGAUUAGAUACCCCAGUAGUCCCUGUCUCUUAUAC
Molecule: ribosomal RNA, 303 nt
Filed under: uncultured bacterium
Lineage: Bacteria
Description: partial 16S ribosomal RNA
Rfam family: Bacterial small subunit ribosomal RNA
Source: RNAcentral